GCUCCUUCACUGCCUUUCUCUAUGGGACUCAUGAUGGCUACUCUUUCUGCCUUUCCAUUGCCUGUAGAAGUCUCUGCAGCUGUCUGAACACACUCAUGCUCCACACAUCUGUGCAGUGAUCCCAGGACCCAGAAACCCUGCUUGACCUAAAGGUUAUGCUGUUCCCCACCUUCCAGCCUAGCCCCCCUUGCUCGUUUAGUACCAGACUCUUUGGUCUCCCUGUUACCAAAGCUUUACUCUGACCUCCAAGGUUCAACUUUCUCUGAAAAUUCCAACCUGAGAAGAAAGAUGGCCACCAAAGAGGUAAACAGGCCUCUUCUGCCAUGUAUUCCUGACAUGUCUUGCACAACUAUAGGCUCCAAAUAACAGAGCCAAGUGACUGUGGAUGAAAAACCUCUGAAAACCGCCAAAAUAAACCUUUUUUCCCUUUAAGUUUAUUGUCCCUGGCAUUUUGUCACAGUAAUGCAAAACUAAGUAGUAGA
Non-coding RNA from Rattus norvegicus (Norway rat), 482 nucleotides. NCBI's taxonomy places the organism in Eukaryota, Metazoa, Chordata, Mammalia, Rodentia, Muridae. The record is from RefSeq and is a predicted model, not a curated record.